ACUCAAUAUGUGUGCUUGCUGUAAAUAUGGACAAAGAGUUGUCGGGUGCUUUAGGUGGGCAUACUGUGAAUAUUUGGAUGCUCAUAAAGGAAUCCCAUACAUAA
Small nucleolar RNA from Magnolia sinica, 104 nucleotides. NCBI's taxonomy places the organism in Eukaryota, Viridiplantae, Streptophyta, Magnoliopsida, Magnoliales, Magnoliaceae. The record is from RefSeq and is a predicted model, not a curated record.